UACGUAGGUGGCAAGCGUUAUCCGGAAUUACUGGGCGUAAAGCGCACGCAGGCGGCGCAUCAAGUUCGACGUGAAAGCUCCCGGCUUAACUGGGAGAGGUCGUUGAAGACUGAUGUGCCUGAGGCAAUGAGAGGGGUGUAGAAUUCCCGGUGUAGUGGUGGAAUGCGUAGAUAUCGGGGGGAAUACCAGUGGCGAGAGCGGCACCCUAGCAUUAGCCUGACGCUCAUGUGCGAAAGCGUGGGGAGCGAACGGG
Molecule: ribosomal RNA, 253 nt
Filed under: uncultured prokaryote
Description: partial 16S ribosomal RNA
Rfam family: Bacterial small subunit ribosomal RNA
Source: RNAcentral